This is a non-coding RNA of Lupinus angustifolius (narrow-leaved blue lupine), 119 nucleotides long. NCBI's taxonomy places the organism in Eukaryota, Viridiplantae, Streptophyta, Magnoliopsida, Fabales, Fabaceae. The record is from Rfam.
GAGAGCGCAAUACAACGGAUAGUUGUAUGCUGCGUUCGGGAAGGAUGAAUCGUUCCCGAAAAGGAAUUUAUUGAUUUUUUUCCAAAUGAUUGGACCGUAAGUGCGAUAAUUUACUUCAC